AAGCAUGUGUUUUAAAAUAAUUAUAUAAAACUCUUCACACUUUUCCAAAUUUGCAAACUCCAAAACAUUUUUCUAUCAGAUCAUUAGUUAUAAUUUUGGUCAGGAAAUGUGGUCUCUAAUAACUAACUCCCCAUGUACAAGGCUGGGCCUGUGUGAACAUGAAAAUAAAAAAGGUAUAUAAGCUUCUGUAGAGUUUUAUGUUUACUUUUAUCAACCUGUGUCUCUCAAUCUGUGUUGUACAUGAGAAUUUCUUCCAGGAAGAAAACUCACAGAGGUAAAUAUAUCAGAAACAAAGCAGGAUGAUUAACAGAAUACUCAGAGAGUAGGGACCAUAAUCGCUAAAUACUGCAGUACUGUUCCAACACGAGAAACGAUACAUACUUGACUGACCUUUUUCCAGAGAAUAAAAGAGAAAAUAUGGAAAGAGAAUAUAAAAGAGAAUAAAAGAGAAAAUAAAGAAUAACAACCAAAAUGCCAGACUGCAUUAGAUAAAUGGGGUCUUACUCUCAUUCAAAUCACUCCAAUUUAAUGAAAUAUAGAGGGUUCUCAUGCAAGGUGACAUGUGUUGAAGUCAAGAUUGUAUGAAAGAAAGCAACCAUAAAUAAAUAUACAUGUAAAUAAUGUAAAUAUUUAUUUAUUUUAAUAUUAUGUAUUUUAUAUGUAUGUACGAUUGCACGGGCUUGCGUUGACAGGUGGCGUGAGCUGAACUCCUUAGGAAGAGUCUGGGAGGAGGAGCCUCAGCGCCAGGGCACCCACAUGUUUCUCAUCCCAGGCCUCCCAGGCCAGCCGGCUCCCAAGAUCCCGCGAGAUCAGGCUUCCACCCGGAAAUGUACCUGCAGCUGCUUGCAGUGCCUCGGACAGAUGCAGUUACUUGGCUGUCUCAAAGUUUUCAACACCUAGGAAAAAAACAUUUUCUCUUUCUGGCUUUUAUUCUCGAUAAUCUUUAGCUAAAUUUGUUUCACAAAUUAAAAAGAAGAAGGAGAAGAAGAAGAAGAAAAAGUGAAGAAGCAGUUUCUUGUUCCUGCUUCUAAGGACACUAGAAAUCCAACAUAGAAACCAGGGGACAUUGAUGACUGGAUCUAUGUAAUAAUGGACAAUUCUGUAUGGCCCUAAAGCAUACAAAUCUCACUGCAAGGAAUCAUACGUCCUUGACGAAUGUCACCCGUCCAGUCUGUUGGGAAACCAGUGACAGUGUGGGCAAGGAUAAGACACAAGGGUUCUGAAGACCCACAUUCCCGAUUUUACAGAUGUGGAAACUGAGAUCCAGGAUUAGCUAAGUGGUUGCUUAAAACAAAACUGUUGGAGAUAGAAAUGGAGCAAGGACCUAGGUUUUGGCAUCCAAUUCCAUGUAAUUCUUGGUAAGCUACACCAACUCUUUUUAAAGCACUAUUUAUCAAAAAAGCUACUUGAAUCAAUUAUAGUAGAUAUGCACACAGGACUUUUUUUUGGGGGGGGGGAGGGAGUCAUCUGGAAUGAGAUGGUCAGGUGUAAAUACCAUAAACAAAUAGAUUGGUUUUCACGUAAAUGGGUAAUCUAACACAGAAGUCCGUCUGUGAAAUGAGUUAGUGUGCUAUGUGGAACCAGGAAUGGGAGAUAACUGCAACACGGACAGCUCAAAUGGAUUAGAAUUUCAUCUAUGGCACACUACACUAAGUCUGCAAGAAAACACAAAUUCCAGGUCUGAGUAAAUGAUGAAAUAGAGGGGCUGGCUUGACCAACUUGACCUCAGAUUUUAGUUGAGUCUGGAGAUGCAGAUUAACCAGAGACACCUAAACUGUAAGACUGGGAAAGGCAGAAGAUGUCUGUGUACGCUUAACAAAGAGAAAAAAAAGUAAUUUGUUAGCCAAACAUACACGAUUGCAUUUGAAGGCUUUUUCAUAGAUUCUGAAGGAGCAAGGAAUAUUCAAAUAUAUGCUGAUAAUUUCUCUGUACUUUAUCAAUGAUACUAAUUACCAGGACUUCUUCAGAAGAGGUUGACAGGCUAUUCACUUAGCCUCAGUAGCAAAAUGUAUGAAAUGGCAUUGCCGAAGGGUUUUAAACCGAGAAAAAAUUGAAAACAUAGCCAGCUGCCAGAUGGAAGAUAUGUUUGCAGAGCUCAGAAAACUGCUGCAGAGCAAACACUGCUGAACAAUAGCAACUGGGGCCUGCUUUGGCACUUGUUAUCUAUUUGCAGUCAUUCAUAAAAUUUUAAUGUUUGGACAUUAAACAGAGCACAGAAGAGAUAUUGCUAUGGUCUGCUAAGUGUUAGUGCUGGAUUAAGACCUAUAGUCAGAAUUAUGAAAAACACAGCAACACAAGCAGCUAUAAUGAUUGAAGAGAA
Acinonyx jubatus (cheetah) is the source of this 2320-nucleotide long non-coding RNA. RefSeq lists it as uncharacterized. The transcript is spliced from 3 exons. Lineage: Eukaryota; Metazoa; Chordata; Mammalia; Carnivora; Felidae. The record is from RefSeq and is a predicted model, not a curated record.